Small nucleolar RNA from Rattus norvegicus (Norway rat), 122 nucleotides. Ensembl annotates it as small nucleolar RNA SNORA32. The record is from Ensembl. Lineage: Eukaryota; Metazoa; Chordata; Mammalia; Rodentia; Muridae.
AAACAAGAACAAAUGCUUUUAGAGUGCAGUUUCUCAUUUGCUGUGGACAUGACCAUAAAGAAAAAUUCCCAUUAGGUUUUCCAUAUGCUCCUUGUCUAGCAGUUAACCUGUUGGGAACAUUU